AGUGAACGCUGGCGGUAGGCCUAACACAUGCAAGUCGAACGGCAGCACAGUAAGGGCUUGCUCUUACGGGUGGCGAGUGGCGGACGGGUGAGGAAUACAUCGGAAUCUACUUUUUCGUGGGGGAUAACGUAGGGAAACUUACGCUAAUACCGCAUACGACCUACGGGUGAAAGCAGGGGAUCUUCGGACCUUGCGCGAUUGAAUGAGCCGAUGUCGGAUUAGCUAGUUGGCGGGGUAAAGGCCCAUCAAGGCGACGAUCCGUAGCUGGUCUGAGAGGAUGAUCAGCCACACUGGAACUGAGACACGGUCCAGACUCCUACGGGAGGCAGCAGUGGGGAAUAUUGGACAAUGGGCGCAAGCCUGAUCCAGCCAUACCGCGUGGGUGAAGAAGGCCUUCGGGUUGUAAAGCCCUCUUGUUGGGAAAGAAAAGCAGCAGGUUAAUACCCCGCUGUUCUGACGGUACCCAAAGAAUAAGCACCGGCUAACUUCGUG
RNAcentral lists this ribosomal RNA (492 nucleotides) under uncultured bacterium. RNAcentral describes it as "partial 16S ribosomal RNA". It matches the Rfam family "Bacterial small subunit ribosomal RNA", at positions 29 to 507 of the family's 1533-position model. The record is from RNAcentral.